This 506-nucleotide ribosomal RNA is filed under the name uncultured bacterium. Its description in RNAcentral is "partial 16S ribosomal RNA". It matches the Rfam family "Bacterial small subunit ribosomal RNA", at positions 28 to 523 of the family's 1533-position model. The record is from RNAcentral.
GAUGAACGCUGGCGGUAGGCCUAACACAUGCAAGUCGAACGGCAGCACAGGAGAGCUUGCUCUCUGGGUGGCGAGUGGCGGACGGGUGAGGAAUACAUCGGAAUCUACUCUGUCGUGGGGGAUAACGUAGGGAAACUUACGCUAAUACCGCAUACGACCUACGGGUGAAAGCAGGGGACCUUCGGGCCUUGCGCGAUUGAAUGAGCCGAUGUCGGAUUAGCUAGUUGGCGGGGUAAAGGCCCACCAAGGCGACGAUCCGUAGCUGGUCUGAGAGGAUGAUCAGCCACACUGGAACUGAGACACGGUCCAGACUCCUACGGGAGGCAGCAGUGGGGAAUAUUGGACAAUGGGCGCAAGCCUGAUCCAGCCAUACCGCGUGGGUGAAGAAGGCCUUCGGGUUGUAAAGCCCUUUUGUUGGGAAAGAAAUCCAGCUGGCUAAUACCCGGUUGGGAUGACGGUACCCAAAGAAUAAGCACCGGCUAACUUCGUGCCAGCAGCCGCCGUAA